GUGGGGAAUAUUGGGCAAUGGGCGAAAGCCUGACCCAGCAACGCCGCGUGAAGGAAGAAGGCCUUCGGGUUGUAAACUUCUUUUAUGAGGGACGAAGGACGUGACGGUACCUCAUGAAUACGCCACGGCUAACUACGUGCCAGCAGCUGCGGUAAUACGUAGGUGGCAAGCGUUGUCCGGAUUUACUGGGUGUAAAGGGCGCGUAGGCGGACUGGCAAGUCAGAUGUGAAAUCCAUGGGCUCAACUCAUGAACUGCAUUUGAAACUGUUGGUAUUGAGUGUCGGAGAGGCAAGCGGAAUUCCUAGUGUAGCGGUGAAAUGCGUAGAUAUUAGGAGGAACACCAGUGGCGAAGGCGGCUUGCUGGACGAUAUCUGACGCUGAGGCGCGAAAGCGUGGGGAGCAAACAGGAUUAGAUACCCUAGUAGUCC
This 428-nucleotide ribosomal RNA is filed under the name uncultured bacterium. RNAcentral's name for it is "partial 16S ribosomal RNA". It matches the Rfam family "Bacterial small subunit ribosomal RNA", at positions 354 to 796 of the family's 1533-position model. The record is from RNAcentral.